This 253-nucleotide ribosomal RNA is filed under the name uncultured bacterium. RNAcentral's name for it is "partial 16S ribosomal RNA". It matches the Rfam family "Bacterial small subunit ribosomal RNA", at positions 524 to 776 of the family's 1533-position model. The record is from RNAcentral.
UACGUAGGGGGCAAGCGUUGUCCGGAAUCAUUGGGCGUAAAGAGCGUGUAGGCGGCCCGGUAAGUCCGCUGUAAAAGUCCAGGGCUCAACCCUGGAAAGCCGGUGGAUACUGUCGGGCUAGAGUCCGGAAGAGGCGAGUGGAAUUCCUGGUGUAGCGGUGGAAUGCGCAGAUAUCAGGAGGAACACCGAUGGCGAAGGCAGCUCGCUGGGACGGUACUGACGCUGAGGCGCGAAAGCGUGGGGAGCGAACAGG